This 6342-nucleotide long non-coding RNA is filed under the name Homo sapiens (human). RNAcentral's name for it is "HSALNT0209592". Lineage: Eukaryota; Metazoa; Chordata; Mammalia; Primates; Hominidae. The record is from RNAcentral.
UAUUAACCAUCACAGUGGUAGACUCCCUGCAGAGCACUGUCUCUGUAAAGAAAGGACAGGAUGAGGAUUAACCAUUAGACAUUUAAUUUUGGUGGUGUUUUAAAUUUUCUAUUUAUACUUUAGAAGUAAGUUUGUAACAUUGCUUAUCUAGGAUUAAUAAGAGGUAAGAGUAAGAAGAUAUGAUUAUGAGGAGGCAUGGGUAAGAGAGAGGGUAGCCAGUUUCAGGGUUCAGGUGGGGAUGGUUGGAAGAAGAAUAAGAGUAAGAAUGGAAGUAUGAGGAAGGGAGAUAGGGCAGGAUUUAUUCUAUUUACCCAGUAAUUAUGCUUAUAAUACAGGCCCCUUAUCAACUCAUUCAUUUAUUUAUUCAACAAAUACUUGUUAAUUGAUGUUAUGCUAGGUGCCAGGGAAUAAAAUGCAAAUAAGAUAUCAUCAAAUAGUGAAGAGAGUUCUUCAUAGGCUUACAGAAGAGAUACAAAACAAAAUUAUUUGGGAGUCUAGAGAGAAAAGAAAGUUCUUUAUUAUUCUUCAGUAGGUCAGGAAAGAGAUAUUGAAUGGCUAGAAGUUUUUCAUUUGACAACAAAUACUUAAUGAGCACCUAUUAUGUGGCAGGCUUUAUUCUUGCUAUUGAGAAUAUAGCAUCAAACAACACAAAGUCCUUAUUCUUGAGGAGCUUUCAUUCUGGAAGGGGAAGACAAGAAAGUUACAUGCAGUGUUUCUUUUUUCUUUGUAAGUGUUAUAGAAAAAAAAGCAGAAUAACAAGGUAGAAAAUGGAUGGUGCUAUUUUAUUAGGGUGGAUAAGGAUGGCUUCACAAAGAAGAUAACAUUUGAGCAGAAACACAAAGGGAGGAAGGAGGCCAUGCAGAUAUCUAGGGUGUGAACGCUGCAGGUAGAGGCAACAACAAGCACAAAGGCCCUGAAAUGGGAGCAGCUUGACAUAUUUUAGGUACAACAACGAGGCCAGUGUGGCUGGAACACAGAAUGCAAGGGAAGAACAAUAGAAUAUGAGAUCGUAGAGAUAUCAAGGGGACCGUAUUCUGGAGGGUCUUGCAGCUUAUGUAAGAACUUUAGAUUAUACUCUGAAUGAGAUGGGCAAUACUGGAAAGUUUUGAGUAGAUGAUGAUUAUGGUGCUGGGUAUAAUUAACAGAUUAUGUGUGCAUUGGAGAAGGGGGCAAAUAAGGAAGGAAGCUGGGAGGCUCUCACAACAAUCCAGUUGCAGGGUGAUGAUGGCUCAUAUCUGAGUGGUAGGAAUAGCAUAAUGAGAAAUGGUUGGAUUCUGUGUGUAUUUUAAAUGUGGAGCCCAGGAGAUUUGCUAUUGGAUUGGAUAUAUUCUGUGAGAAAAAGAGAGGAGUCAAGGAUAACUCCAAGGUUUCUCACAUGGAGAUGGAGCAACUAUAAGAUAGAUAUGUGAUCUUACAUAACAUGGAGCAACUAACAUGGUGAAGGCUGCAAAAGGAGCAGGUAUGGUGGGGGAAGUAUGGGGAAUUAAUACUUAUAUCUUAAUAUGUGGAAUUUUAGAUGUUUAUUGGUGAGACAUGCAAGUGGAGAUGAUGAGUAGAUUAUUGGCCGUAUGAACCUAGAGUUCAGAGGAAGAAUCAGAAAUGCAUUUGAGAAUUAUCUACGUAUUGAUAGCAAUAAAGUCCUGGGACUGGAUGAGAUUUCCUAAGGAGUGAGUGAAGUAGAGAAGAGGCUUAAGUGUGAACCCUGGAUCACUCUGAUAUUUAACAUCUGGGGUGGUGAGGAAGAAAUGGUAAAGGAGAGAACAGGAAGAAGUGGCUGCUAAAUUAGAAAAACCAAGGUAAUUCAAAUGGAGAAAAGGACAGUUUUUCUGAUAAAUGGUGCUAGACAAACUGAAUAUCCAUGUGGGGGAAAAAUGAAUCUUAGCCCUUAACUCACUCUAUAUACAAAAUUAACUCAAAAUAGACCUAAGCAUCAGAUCUGAAAUGAGAUAAAGCUUCUAGAGGAAAACAGAAGAAUAUGUCCUUGGUAUAGGCAAAGAUUUCUUGGAACACAAAGUUGUAAAAGAAAAUAAAUUGGACUUCAAAAUUUCAAAACUUCUACUCUUCAAAUACACUGUUAAGAAAAUGAAAAGGCAAACUAAAAACUGUCAAAUUAUUUGCUGUACAUAUAACAUUUCUUUAUGUAUUUUGGAUAUAAAACCUUUGUCAGUUAUAACUCAAUAAGAGACAGACAACUCACUAAAAAAUUUGGCAAAAUUUUAGACAGUUCACAAAAGAAGAUAUGUGAAUGACCAAGAAACAUACGAAAAGAUGUUCAACAUCAUUAAUCAUUAAGGAUAUGCAAAUUAAACUACCACUACAUACCCACUAGAAUGGCUAAAAUUUAAAAGAUUGACAUAACCAAGUAUUGGUGAGAAUAUGGAAUUCUUAUACAUUACUUAUGGGAAUGUAAAAUUAUAUAACUACUUUGAAAAACAAUUUGGCAGUUUAGUAUAAACAUCCCCUUUCUGUACAGUCUGGCAAAUCCACUUGUAGAUAUUUACCCAAAAGAAAUGCAUAUAUGUGGCCGGGCGCGGGUGGCUCGCGGCUGUAAUCCUAGCACUUUGGGAGGCCGAGGCAGGCGGAUCACGAGGAGUUCAAAACCAUCCUGGCUAACACGGUGAAACCCCGUCUCUACUAAAAAUACAAAAAAUUAGCUGGGCGUGGUGGCAGGUGCCUGUAGUCCCAGCUACUCAGGAGGCUGAGGCAGGAGAAUGGCGUGAACCCAGGAGGCGGAGCUUGCACUGAGCCGAGAUCGCGCCACCGCACUGCAGCCUGGGCGACAGAGCGAGACUCCAUCUCAAAAAUAAAAAAAAAAAAAAAAAAAAAGAAAUGCAUAUAUGUCCAUACAAAGACUGCACAUGGAUGAACAUAGAAUCUUUAUUAAUAAGAGCCUUGAACUGAAAACAAUUGAAGGUAAUUGUGGAAUAUCCAUGCAAUGUAAUACUGAGCAAUUAAAUAAGACCAAACUGCUGAUAUGUGAAAGAACACGGAUAAGCUCCAAAAACAUGUUGAAAGAACAAAGCCAGAUGUAAAACAGCAUAUAGUGCACAACUGCAUUUCUGGAAAAUUGUAAUACAGACUAAAAUAAUCUAUAAUAACAGAAAAUAAUAACUGGGCUCCAGUUUUAAAAUACAUACAGAAUCCAUGUGUGUCUCAUUAUACUGUUUUACCACCCAGAUCUGAGCCACCAUCACCCUGCAACUGGAUGAUUAUGAGAGCCUCCCAGCUUCCUCCAUUAUUCGCUACCCCCCCAAUACACACACACAACAUGUGUAUCUAUGAAUAUAGAUUCUACAUGCAAUUAUGGUCCUUAGUUUAGAACAUACACAAAAAUCAAUUUUAUGUGGGUUAAAAAUUAAUAGGCUAUAUUUUAGAGCUAAAACUUAAAACUAUAGAAAAACUGAAUGGAUUAUGAAGUGUUCCUAUAUAUCCUCCCUUCCCCACAGUUUCCCCUGGUUUCAGCGUCUUGCAUUAGUGUGGUAUAUUUGUUAUAAUUAAUAAACCAAUAUUGAUAGAUUAUUAUUAACUAAAGUCCAUAGUUUACAUUAGGGUUCUCUUUGUGCUGUAUAGUUCUGUGGGUUUUGACAAAUGCAUAAUAUCAGGUAUCCACCAUUACAAUACCAUACAGAAUAAUUUCACUGUCCUAAAAGUCCCCUGUGCUUCACCUAUCCAUCCCUUCCAUCACCCUCCAAGAAUCCAUGCAACCAUGGACCUUUUUAUUCCCUCUAUUGUUUUACGUUUUCUAAGAUGUCAUGUAGUUGGAAUGACAGAGUAUGUAAACUUUUCAGACUGGAAUCUUUCACUUUGCAAUAUGCAUUUGUUUCCUCUGUAUCUUUUAAUGGCUUGGUAGCACAUUUCUUUUUAGUGCUAAAUAAUGUUCCAUUGUAUGGAUGUAUCACAGUUUGAAUUAUUCAUUUAUCUAUUGAGGGACAUCUUAGUUGCUUUCCAUUUGGGGCAAUUAUGAAUAAAGCUGUUAUCAACAUUGUGUGCAGGUUUUUGUGUGGCCAUAAUACCAAAACACAUUCUAAUUCAUCUGGGUUAAAUACUUAAGAGCAUAUUGGUAUUUGUAUUAAGUCCGUGUUUACCUUCGUCAGAAACUGCCAGAUUGUGUUCUAAAGCAGCUGUGCCAUUUUGCACUUUCCAUCCAUAAUAGAUGCGAGGUCCUGUUGGUCCACAUUCUUGCCAGCCUUUGAUAUUGUCAGGUUUUUUGUUUUAGUCGUUCUAAUCCAUGUGCAGUAGUACCUCAAUUUUCAAUUCCCUAAUGACAUGUGAUGCUGAACAUAUUUUCAUAUGAUCAUUUGCCACAUGUAUAUCUUCUUUGAUGAAGUGUCUGUUCAGAUAGUUCAUCCAUUUUUUAAUUGGGUUAUCUUUUUGUGGCUCGUCUUUUCAUUCUCUUAAGAGUUUUUUAGAGCAGAAAAUUUUAAUUUUAAUGAAGUCCAACUUGAUUUCUUUUAUGGAUUGUACCUUUGAUGUUCUAAAAACUCAUUAUCAAACCUUGGAUCAUUUAGAUUUUCUUCCUGUGUUAUCUUCUAGAAGUUAACAUUUUGAAUUUUAAAUUUAGGUCUAUGAUUCAUUUUGAGUUGAUUUUCGUGAAAGGUGUAAGGUCUGUGUCUCGACUUUUUUGAGGGGGGAAUACAAAUGUCCAGUUUUUGUAGUACCAUUUGUUGAAAAGACUAUCUUUUCUCCACUGGAUUGCCUCUACUCCUGUCAGAGGUCAGUUGACUGUAUUUGUGUGAGUCUAUUUCUGGACUCUUUAUUUUGUUCAUAAGUGUAAAUCAAUUUGUCUAUUUUUUAAAUUAAUACCACAUCAUCUUGAUAAUUGUAGUUUUAAAAUAAGUCUGAAAUAAGGUAGUGUCAGUUUUCAGAUUGUUUUUAUUCUUUGAUAUUGUAUUGGCUCUUCUGAGUGUUUUGUUUUUCCAUAUAAACUUUAGAAUCAAUUUGUUGAUAUUCACAAAACAGCUUGCUAGGAAUUUGAUUUGGAUUGCAUUGAAUCUAUAGAUCAAGUUGGGGAUAACUGACAUCUUGACAAUAUUGAUUUUUUUUAAUGCCUGAACAUGAAAUAUCUUUCCCUUUAUUUAGAUUUUCUUUGAUAUUUUUCAGUCUUACAGUUUUCCUCAUAUAUAUUUUGUCAGAUAUAUAGAUAUAUAUAUCUAUAAACAUCCCAGGUAGCUGGGAUUACAGGCACAUGCCACCACGCCCAGCUAAUUUUUGUAUUUUUAGUAGAGACGGGGUUUCACCAUGUUGGCCAGGCUGGUCUCGAACUCCUAACAUCAGGUGGUCUGCCUGCCUCAGGCUCCCAAAGUGCUGGGAUUACAGGCGUGAGCCACUGUGCCUGGCCAGAGUUAUAUAUUUUAUCUAUAUAUGUAUAUAGUUUAUCUAAAAAUAUUUUUCUCAUAUAUAUGUAUAUAUUUUAUCUAAGCCAGAUUAAUUUAUAUUUAUACAUUUUAUCAGAUUUACACCUAGUUAUUUUGGGUGCUUUUGGUGCUAAUGUAAAAGAUGCUUUGAAUUUCAAAUUCCAAUUGUUUAUUGAUGGUAUGUAGGAAAGUUAUUGACUUUAAUAUAUUAACAUUGUGUCAUGCAAUCUUGCUAUUUGUCGUAAUUGCUUAUUAAUUCCAGGAAUUUUUUUUCCACAUAGACAAUCAUGUCAUAUGUGAACAAAGACAGUUUUAUUUGUUUCUUCCCAACCUGUAUGCCUUUUGUCUUCUUUUCUGGUCUUACUGCAUUGGCUAGGAUUUCAGUGUAAUGUUGAAUAGGUGUGGUGAGAGGGACAUCCUGGUUUCAUUCCUUAUCUUAGGCAGAAAGCAACUAGUUUCCCACCAUUAAGUAUGAUGUUAGCUGGAAGUUUUUGGUAGAUAUUCCUUAUCAAGCUGAAAAAGUUUUCUUAAAUUUUUAAUUUGCUGAGAGUUCUGAUCAUGAAUAAAUGUUGGAUUUUUCAAAUGCUUUUGCUGCAUUUAUUGAUAUGAUUUUUCUUCUUUAACCUGAUUUUAUGGAUUAUAUUAAUAAAUUUUUGAACAUUCAAUCAGCCUUGCAUACCUGCCGUAUGGUUGUGAUGGAUUGAUUGAUUUCCUCGUAUUUUGUUGGAGAUUUUAACACCUGUAUUCAUGAGAUACAUUGGUACAUGAUUUUUCUUUCUUGCAAUAUCUUCAUCUGGUUUUGGUAUUAAGGUGAUACUGGCCUAUUAGAAUAAAUUAGUAAGUGUUCCCUCUGCUUCUGUUUUCUGGAAGAGAUUGUGAAGAAUUGUUAUCAUUUCUUUCUUAAAUGUUUGGUAGAAUUCACCAGUGAGACUAUCUGGGCCUGGUGCUUUGUGUUUUGGAAGGUUAUUAAUUGCUCAUUCAAUUUCUU